UGUCCAACAAAGCUGUUAUUUUAUCAGGAAGAACUGAAAGCUCAUUUCAGAAACUGAAGCUUCUCAGGAAUGAACCAAAUGAUUUGGUAGACAUGCCUUGAAAUUUAUCAGAAAAUUACGAGUAUUGUUUUGUUAGGAGAUAGGAAUUAACUAAUGUUUCUAAAAUGCCUGACUUUAGAUCAAGAAUUUCAGCAACUUGAUGCACUCAAGAUGGAGAACCCAUAUUUUUUUUUUUUUAAACUGCCACCCUCACAACUUUGUUCUAACUGUGUCUGGAGAUCUGUGAUUCAAGUGGUUGGUUCAGCAGCUCAAUCAUGUAAGUGCUCAGAUCAUUGUUUCUGGAUUCUGUUUGCCUGUCCCUCACAAAGCAAGUUGGCUGCAGCAGUUUUAGUGCCAU
Molecule: long non-coding RNA, 397 nt
Filed under: Bos indicus x Bos taurus (hybrid cattle)
Lineage: Eukaryota; Metazoa; Chordata; Mammalia; Artiodactyla; Bovidae
Description: lncRNA (ENSBIXG00005017855.1)
Source: RNAcentral